UACAGAGGGUGCGAGCGUUAAUCGAAAUUACUGGGCGUAAAGGGUGCGUAGGCGGCGCGGUAAGUCGGGUGUGAAAUCUCGGAGCUUAACUCCGAAACUGCAUUCGAUACUGCCGUGCUUGAGGACUGGAGAGGAGACUGGAAUUUACGGUGUAGCGGUGAAAUGCGUAGAUAUCGUAAGGAAGACCAGUGGCGAAGGCGGGUCUCUGGACAGUUCCUGACGCUGAGGCACGAAGGUCAGGGGAGCAAACGGG
Molecule: ribosomal RNA, 253 nt
Filed under: uncultured bacterium
Lineage: Bacteria
Description: partial 16S ribosomal RNA
Rfam family: Bacterial small subunit ribosomal RNA
Source: RNAcentral